GGAGGGAUGGCAGAGUGGUUGAAUGCGGCGGUCUUGAAAACCGUUGAGCCGAAAGGCUCCGGGGGUUCGAAUCCCUCUCCCUCCGCAA
RNAcentral lists this transfer RNA (88 nucleotides) under Actinomycetes bacterium. RNAcentral's name for it is "Actinobacteria bacterium tRNA-Ser". It matches the Rfam family "tRNA". From Rfam's summary of the family: Transfer RNA (tRNA) molecules are approximately 80 nucleotides in length. Their secondary structure includes four short double-helical elements and three loops (D, anti-codon, and T loops). Further hydrogen bonds mediate the characteristic L-shaped molecular structure. tRNAs have two regions of fundamental functional importance: the anti-codon, which is responsible for specific mRNA codon recognition, and the 3' end, to which the tRNAs corresponding amino acid is attached (by aminoacyl-tRNA synthetases). tRNAs cope with the degeneracy of the genetic code in two manners: having more than one tRNA (with a specific anti-codon) for a particular amino acid; and 'wobble' base-pairing, i.e. permitting non-standard base-pairing at the 3rd anti-codon position. Lineage: Bacteria; Bacillati; Actinomycetota; Actinomycetes. The record is from RNAcentral.